UUGCUUCUAGCAGCACACAUACCAAAAUUGGAGUGAUAGAAUAGCAUGGCUCUUGUGCAAAGAUGAUAUACCCAAUCAUAGUACAUCCUAUGUUUGU
Molecule: small nuclear RNA, 97 nt
Filed under: Notamacropus eugenii (tammar wallaby)
Lineage: Eukaryota; Metazoa; Chordata; Mammalia; Diprotodontia; Macropodidae
Source: RNAcentral